UUUAUUUCCCUUGACCCUGAACUUCCAUCUUAGAAGCAACUCAUGGUGAGCUAAACUGAAUGCACCCUGUUGUUCCAAGCAGGAGUUUUUCUUGCCUCAGCCAACUGACAGCAGACUCUCAGACCUGAUAGGACCAUCAGUGGAGUCUUGAUAUCACCUGGAUCACUCAACAAAUCUCUGGGACCAGAGCUGAAGGAAUCUACUUAUAGAGAAGGCUCAUCUGAAGGAGGUUCUGAAAUUCUGAGAUGACCCAAGAGCUCUCGACAUAUGGCAAUCUACCUCUCAACACUGCAAAUUCAUUUGUAUGGACCAGCAAGCUCUUCCUUUAGGGCACAAUGGGCCUUUGGGCAGGUUAUCUGGAGAGCAUGGAAUAAGAUGACAUUUACUCAGAAGCCUGAAGUUAUAUAGGACAGUAAAGGUGGGAGCUCGGGAGCUUCUGUUUUGGUAAGAAGGUUUCUUCCACCCUGAAUAAUUGU
Molecule: long non-coding RNA, 476 nt
Filed under: Mus spicilegus (steppe mouse)
Lineage: Eukaryota; Metazoa; Chordata; Mammalia; Rodentia; Muridae
Description: lncRNA (ENSMSIG00000013155.1)
Source: RNAcentral